GAUGAACGCUGGCGGCGUGCCUAAUACAUGCAAGUCGAGCGAACGGACGAGAAGCUUGCUUCUCUGAUGUUAGCGGCGGACGGGUGAGUAACACGUGGAUAACCUACCUAUAAGACUGGGAUAACUUCGGGAAACCGGAGCUAAUACCGGAUAAUAUUUUGAACCGCAUGGUUCAAAAGUGAAAGGCGGUCUUGCUGUCACUUAUAGAUGGAUCCGCGCUGCAUUAGCUAGUUGGUAAGGUAACGGCUUACCAAGGCAACGAUGCAUAGCCGACCUGAGAGGGUGAUCGGCCACACUGGAACUGAGACACGGUCCAGACUCCUACGGGAGGCAGCAGUAGGGAAUCUUCCGCAAUGGGCGAAAGCCUGACGGAGCAACGCCGCGUGAGUGAUGAAGGUCUUCGGAUCGUAAAACUCUGUUAUUAGGGAAGAACAUAUGUGUAAGUAACUGUUCACAUCUUGACGGUACCUAAUCAGAAAGCCACGGCUAACUACGUG
Molecule: ribosomal RNA, 497 nt
Filed under: uncultured bacterium
Lineage: Bacteria
Description: partial 16S ribosomal RNA
Rfam family: Bacterial small subunit ribosomal RNA
Source: RNAcentral